GAGUCUUUGGUGUCCAGAGCCCUUGCUGGAGCUUGACCACAUGCUGCCUGCAUGACUGACCUUUGCUCUCCAGUCCCUAUGGGGGCUGGAACUGAUAUGGCGUGUUUCGGAGCCCCCAUUAUAAAUCACAUCAUUUGAGCAUCUGGUGGCCAAACUCCUCAGGCAAACAAUGACAUUCCUAUUGGGCAGGACAUUCCAGAGGCCUAGAGAUCAUCUCCCAGUAGCCGAGGGCCAAAGCCAGACCUCUCUUUGGUUGGCUUCAGGUCACAUGUUGCUCUGGAGAACCGAGAAGGGUGAGCAGACACCAAUCAUGACCCCAAACAGCAAGAGGACAGAAGGGAUCCCCCCUACUCCACAGCUUGACGGCAGAGCAGUGACCAGAAUAUAUGCUCAGGAAGGCCAAAGAGAUGAAGCCGCAGCUGCCUCUUUUUUUUUUUUGAGACAGUCUCAUUCUGUUGCCCGGGCUGGAGUGCAGUGGUGCGAUCUCGGCUCACUGUAACCUCCACCUCCCAGGUUCAAGCAAUUCUCGUACCUCAGCCUCCCAGGUAGCUGGAACUAUACAGGUGUACCAUCACACCCGGCUAAUUAUUUUUUGUCUUUUUUUGUAGAGAUGGGGUUUCGCCAUGUUGGUCAGGCUGGUCUCGAACUCCUGGCCUCAGGUGAUCCACGCACCUCCGCCUCCCAAAGUCCUGGGAUUAGAGGCGUGAGCCACCGUGCCCAGCCAGGCUUGCUUCUCUGAGCCAUACCCUUCUGUUGGAACAAGCAUCCUUUCUAUUAAAAGCAAUAAAUCUCCUCUUAUUUAAGUGGCAGAUGGUUUAGAUUGUUACUUUUGCUUUCAGCGAUCCUCUAGAAAAAGAAGGAACUUUAAGGUUGAGAACUAACUUCUAGCAGCUAUGCAGAAGUUCUGAGAGGUGACUCGUGUUUUUUACAUCAAGACCUCCACAAAGGCCCCUUCUGUCAUUGAGUCAAAGUUCUAGCGACCUAGGUUCAUCCUCAAAUGUGUAAUGAAAACCUGUAAAUCACUUGGACUCCACUUCCCCUCCCACCCUGGGUCCUCCACCCCACCUUGCUUUGGUUUUGCUUGGGGAG
RNAcentral lists this long non-coding RNA (1089 nucleotides) under Homo sapiens (human). RNAcentral describes it as "HSALNT0295658". The record is from RNAcentral. Lineage: Eukaryota; Metazoa; Chordata; Mammalia; Primates; Hominidae.